UCUACUUUUAUUUUUUUCAUGGUAUCAAAGCCAUUUGACUCAUACCCUCUAUAAUUUCUUAACAACAUAUUUAAGUUCCUUUUCUUCCACUCUCUCCUUUUCAAUUAAUGGUAUUUCUCAUCCCAUUUUUAUUGAGUUAGAUAUGAAGGAUAAGGUUUCCUAGAAGCAUUCAUGUAUCCAAAUACAUUUCUUGACAUGAUAUAAUAUGAUGCUUAGGCAAGCCACAUCAUAUGUCUUUCUUGAUGCUUAAAAAGCGUCAUUGUUUCCUUUUUCCUUAUAGUAGUUUCUACAAGUUCUUCAUAGAUGUGACUUACUAGCUAUUGUUUAUGAAUUGAAACAUGCCCAUCUAAGCUCAUCCAAGACUAUAAGGGAGAAGAAAUAACAUAACCACAAUUUAUAACUCAAAUAAGUAGGAUUAUAGUACAUUCUUUGUUAUCUUAAGAACACUGUAUAUGAAAUUUAUUUCUUCCUAAAGAUAUCAUGUAGUUGUGGUUUAAUUGAGAUGAACUUUAUUCUUCCUAAAAAGGCUUAGGGUGCGUUUGAUAGUGUUUUACUCAAAAUGUUUUCUCUAAAAGUGUUUUUAUGAGAAUCACCCAUCAACUGCUUCUCCAGAAAACACUAAAAAGGAUUUUUCAGAUUUUUAAAAGUUUUUCAUAAAUUUUUUCAAACAUUUGUUUUUU
RNAcentral lists this long non-coding RNA (680 nucleotides) under Vitis vinifera (wine grape). RNAcentral describes it as "long non-coding RNA (VVIN_LNC007699)". Lineage: Eukaryota; Viridiplantae; Streptophyta; Magnoliopsida; Vitales; Vitaceae. The record is from RNAcentral.